GACGAACGCUGGCGGCGUGCUUAACACAUGCAAGUCGAACGGAAAGGCCCCAGCUUGCUGGGGUACUCGAGUGGCGAACGGGUGAGUAACACGUGGGUGAUCUGCCCUGCACUCUGGGAUAAGCCUGGGAAACUGGGUCUAAUACCGGAUAGGACCGUGCUUUAGUGUGUGCGGUGGAAAGUUUUUCGGUGCAGGAUGAGCCCGCGGCCUAUCAGCUUGUUGGUGGGGUAAUGGCCUACCAAGGCGGCGACGGGUAGCCGGCCUGAGAGGGUGUACGGCCACAUUGGGACUGAGACACGGCCCAGACUCCUACGGGAGGCAGCAGUGGGGAAUAUUGCACAAUGGGCGCAAGUCUGAUGCAGCGACGCCGCGUGGGGGAUGACGGCCUUCGGGUUGUAAACCCCUUUCGGCAGGGACGAAGCUUUUGUGACGGUACCUGCAGAAGAAGCACCGGCUAACUACGUG
Molecule: ribosomal RNA, 465 nt
Filed under: uncultured bacterium
Lineage: Bacteria
Description: partial 16S ribosomal RNA
Rfam family: Bacterial small subunit ribosomal RNA
Source: RNAcentral